AGGUAGAGGAGAAGAUUAAAC
This 21-nucleotide unclassified non-coding RNA is filed under the name Chlamydomonas reinhardtii. RNAcentral describes it as "small RNA Cre_0588". Lineage: Eukaryota; Viridiplantae; Chlorophyta; Chlorophyceae; Chlamydomonadales; Chlamydomonadaceae. The record is from RNAcentral.